This 253-nucleotide ribosomal RNA is filed under the name uncultured bacterium. RNAcentral describes it as "partial 16S ribosomal RNA". It matches the Rfam family "Bacterial small subunit ribosomal RNA", at positions 524 to 776 of the family's 1533-position model. The record is from RNAcentral.
UACGAAGGGGUCUAGCAUUGUUCGGAAUUACUGGGCGUAAAGCGCACGUAGGCGGAUUUGUUAGUCAGGAGUUAAAUCCCGGGGCUCAACCUCGGAACUGCCUUUGAUACUGCAAAUCUCGAGUCCGGAAGAGGUGAGUGGAAUUCCUAGUGUAGAGGUGAAAUUCGUAGAUAUUAGGAAGAACACCAGUGGCGAAGGCGGCUCACUGGUCCGGUACUGACGCUGAGGUGCGAAAGCCUCGGGCGCAAACAGG